ACAAUGGGGGCCCAAGGUGAGAUGAAGCUGUAGUCUCACUGGAAGGACUAGAGGUUAGAGGAGACCCCCCCGAAAUAAAAAACAGCAUAUUGACGC
Molecule: long non-coding RNA, 96 nt
Filed under: dengue virus type 2
Lineage: Riboviria; Orthornavirae; Kitrinoviricota; Flasuviricetes; Amarillovirales; Flaviviridae
Description: Dengue virus type 2 partial sfRNA4
Rfam family: Flavivirus DB element (bases 6-77)
About the family: These DB elements are thought to be required for efficient translation.
Source: RNAcentral